This 492-nucleotide ribosomal RNA is filed under the name uncultured bacterium. Its description in RNAcentral is "partial 16S ribosomal RNA". It matches the Rfam family "Bacterial small subunit ribosomal RNA", at positions 29 to 507 of the family's 1533-position model. The record is from RNAcentral.
AGUGAACGCUGGCGGUAGGCCUAACACAUGCAAGUCGAACGGCAGCACAGUAAGAGCUUGCUCUUACGGGUGGCGAGUGGCGGACGGGUGAGGAAUACAUCGGAAUCUACUUUUUCGUGGGGGAUAACGUAGGGAAACUUACGCUAAUACCGCAUACGACCUACGGGUGAAAGCAGGGGAUCUUCGGACCUUGCGCGAUUGAAUGAGCCGAUGUCGGAUUAGCUAGUUGGCGGGGUAAAGGCCCACCAAGGCGACGAUCCGUAGCUGAUCUGAGAGGAUGAUCAGCCACACUGGAACUGAGACACGGUCCAGACUCCUACGGGAGGCAGCAGUGGGGAAUAUUGGACAAUGGGCGCAAGCCUGAUCCAGCCAUACCGCGUGGGUGAAGAAGGCCUUCGGAUUGUAAAGCCCUUUUGUUGGGAAAGAAAAGCAGCAGGUUAAUACCCCGCUGUUCUGACGGUACCCAAAGAAUAAGCACCGGCUAACUUCGUG